Molecule: long non-coding RNA, 799 nt
Filed under: Rattus norvegicus (Norway rat)
Lineage: Eukaryota; Metazoa; Chordata; Mammalia; Rodentia; Muridae
Description: long non-coding RNA NONRATT000318
Source: RNAcentral
CAUGAAGUUUGUAAAAGGAAACUGGACUUAGAAGUCUCCAUUGCUUUAGGUUCAAGAAGAUUCUUUUGAAAAGAAAAGAGAUGGGGAGGAGGAUCAGUGGUGAAAGCACUUGCCGUGGAAGUCUGAGGACCAACAUUCAAACCCCCAGAGGCCAUGGAAAUGCUACAUGAACAUGGCUGGUGAACUGUAAUUCCAGCCCUGGAAGGUUAAGACUGGAUCCUCAGAGAAGCUGAUCAGAGAGACUAGCCAUGCUAGCAAGACCUGGUUUUGAUUGAGAGACCCUGUCUCAAUGGAUAAGAUUCCGUGGUCCAUUCUGACAAUCAUUCUCCCUUGAUGGCUAACACAUUAAUCAUAAAGUAUGUGUCUUAGAAAAGUCCAAGCCCUGUGGUGGUGAUACAAGUCUUUAACUCCAGCACGUGGGAGGCCGACAUCAGUGGAUCUCUGUGAGUUUGAGUUCCAUGGAAGGCCAGGAAAGCUCCAGGACUGGAUUCUCUUUUACAGGCCUGGGAAGAAGAAUCAACAGGUCUAUCUCUUUGCCAUUUCUGACUUCGGGAGUGACCCACCUCAGUGAUCCUCACCUCCUAUUGAAGAAGGGACUGCAGUGAGGAACCCAGACUUCCUGCCAACAUCAGCAUCUAAUUACUAGCUCUAUGGUGAGCGAUCUGGGAUGUGGCUCUUCCCACCAUACUCAAGACUAUAGGCAAAAGCCGGAGGAGGGGGAGGCUAAACUCUUUACAGACCUAAGGAACUCUGAUCCAAAAUUAUCUAGCCAGAUCAUUACUGACUUCCUGAACUACAA